UCUUUGCUGACGAGUGGCGGACGGGUGAGUAAUGUCUGGGAAACUGCCUGAUGGAGGGGGAUAACUACUGGAAACGGUAGCUAAUACCGCAUAACGUCGCAAGACCAAAGAGGGGGACCUUCGGGCCUCUUGCCAUCGGAUGUGCCCAGAUGGGAUUAGCUAGUAGGUGGGGUAACGGCUCACCUAGGCGACGAUCCCUAGCUGGUCUGAGAGGAUGACCAGCCACACUGGAACUGAGACACGGUCCAGACUCCUACGGGAGGCAGCAGUGGGGAAUAUUGCACAAUGGGCGCAAGCCUGAUGCAGCCAUGCCGCGUGUAUGAAGAAGGCCUUCGGGUUGUAAAGUACUUUCAGCGGGGAGGAAGGGAGUAAAGUUAAUACCUUUGCUCAUUGACGUUACCCGCAGAAGAAGCACCGGCUAACUCCGUGCCAGCAGCCGCGGUAAUACGGAGGGUGCAAGCGUUAAUCGGAAUUACUGGGCGUAAAGCGCACGCAGGCGGUUUGUUAAGUCAGAUGUGAAAUCCCC
RNAcentral lists this ribosomal RNA (526 nucleotides) under uncultured Escherichia sp. Its description in RNAcentral is "bacterial SSU rRNA". It matches the Rfam family "Bacterial small subunit ribosomal RNA", at positions 82 to 604 of the family's 1533-position model. Lineage: Bacteria; Pseudomonadati; Pseudomonadota; Gammaproteobacteria; Enterobacterales; Enterobacteriaceae. The record is from RNAcentral.